Molecule: long non-coding RNA, 607 nt
Organism: Ziziphus jujuba (common jujube)
Lineage: Eukaryota; Viridiplantae; Streptophyta; Magnoliopsida; Rosales; Rhamnaceae
Exons: 2
Source: RefSeq, a predicted model, not a curated record
AGGUUUUAGCAAUCCCAUGUUGGCCCCAAGAUCUUACACUCGGGAAGGUGUAGUUGAGCUUCAAUGUCAUAGGAGUGAAGUAUGUCUGAAACGUGUUCUGAGGGCUUGUUUAGAUGCUGGAGCAAGGCUUGCUGAACCUGGCGAGUUUACUCUCCGUGCCUUUUUAAAUGGGCGCUUGGACCUCUUACAAGCUGAAAACGUUGGAAAAUUGAUUUCAGUAAAGUCUGUAGCUGCUGCAGAUGCAGCACUGGCUGGCAUUCAGGCAUGUCUUCUUUUCAGAACAUUACAUAUGUUUUUCUGCCUAUGAUUAAGAUUCAUGUUUUUAUCUAUAAUUGUAUUUUUAUGCUCUCUGAAACCAUUUAGCACCCUUACUUGCAUUGCAUAUGAGUUAACGUUUUUCGGUCCAUCUCUAUUCGACAUGGAGGAUUCUCUUCCUUGGUAAAAUCACUAAGAAUACAGUGCAUUGAGCUGCUUACUGAAAUUGAAGCCCGCUUAGAUUUUGACGAUGAGAUGCCACCGCUUGCCUUUUCACAAUAAAAAGAUCAGGGGAUAGGAUAGCAACUCAAUUCUGCAGAAAAUAAUAAUAAUAAAAAAAAAAAUUCAAGUC